UCCAGAUUGAAGGCUGGGCAGCUCUUCGCCCUGUGCAACUGAGCAAUGGAAAAGCUUAUAAAUCAAUUACCUGCCUCUCCACAAUCUCCAAGAAAAACCUGGACUCUGUCCUGUGCCUAAGACUCAAUGCCUUGCAUUCUAUCCUCGAAAUAAAUGCAAUUAUGACAAGCAAUGUCUAGGGGAACUGAAGUGUUGUGUGUGGACAUGUGGACGAGAAUGCGUUCCACCAAUUUUUGUGUAAGACUUUGCUUUAUACUGAUGAGCACCCAGCACCGCCAGCAAUACCCUGUGAAACACAUCUUCACCCCUGCAACAUUCUAGUGAUUGGGAGAUACCAGCCAAUUCAAUUCAUUUGCGGGAGGAAGCUCAAGCAGAAUGAUCAGCUGAUCUGGACCUCUAGAAGCAACAUAUAUAGCAGGCCUGCACAACUCAAAUGACCUGGCGGGCCGAAACCAACUGUGACUUGGUUCAUGGGGGCUGAGGUCAAUUCCUAGUGUGCUGAUUAUUAGAGUAACACUUAACAUCAAUCAAUCAACCAAUCAACUGAAUUAAAGUGAAAUGAAUUAAAAAUGAAUUAAAAAUAAAUUUAAUCAAUAUUUAACUUUUGAUGUUCUGGCAGGCCAAGAUUGAUUUAAAUUAAUAUGAAAUAAGUUGAAU
Molecule: long non-coding RNA, 657 nt
Organism: Hemicordylus capensis (graceful crag lizard)
Lineage: Eukaryota; Metazoa; Chordata; Lepidosauria; Squamata; Cordylidae
Exons: 3
Source: RefSeq, a predicted model, not a curated record